GCCCCCAUAGCUCAGGGGAUAGAGCAUCGCCCUCCGGAGGCGGGAGCGCAGGUUCGAAUCCUGCUGGGGGCACUA
RNAcentral lists this transfer RNA (75 nucleotides) under Microbacteriaceae bacterium BACL28 MAG-120531-bin53. RNAcentral describes it as "tRNA-Arg". It matches the Rfam family "tRNA". Rfam says of the family: Transfer RNA (tRNA) molecules are approximately 80 nucleotides in length. Their secondary structure includes four short double-helical elements and three loops (D, anti-codon, and T loops). The record is from RNAcentral. RNAcentral also lists the same sequence under 1 other name. Lineage: Bacteria; Bacillati; Actinomycetota; Actinomycetes; Micrococcales; Microbacteriaceae.